Molecule: long non-coding RNA, 856 nt
Filed under: Suricata suricatta (meerkat)
Lineage: Eukaryota; Metazoa; Chordata; Mammalia; Carnivora; Herpestidae
Description: lncRNA (ENSSSUG00005019781.1)
Source: RNAcentral
AUUUUUUAUUUUUAUUUUUGAGAGACAGAGACAGCAGAGCAGGGGAGGGUCAGAGAGAGGGAGAUACAGAAUCUGAAGCAGGCUCCAGGCUCUGAGCUGUCAGCACAGAGCCCGACGCGGGGCUUGAACCCACGAACAGUGAGAUCAUGACCUGAGCUGAAGCUCAACCGACUGAGCCACCGAGGCUCCCCUACAAUCCUCCUUAUAUGACAAAUAAGGACCCAAAUCAUGUAAAGUCCUGAGAAACUUAUCUGUUUCAGAAUAUAAGUAUCUGAUGAAGAAGACUACUGACCUACGUCAGACCAUUUUUGGAAGGCAGUUUCAUUCCUCAAAGCUCUGCCAGGAGAACGGAAGGGACCAGAGGAACUGUGUGGUGAGCCGAGGCGAUCUGGGGGAGCAGGGCUGGGACUGCACAAGUUGCAACGUGUGCAUGAUGACAGGCAUUGAUUCUGGAAUCUGAGCCAUUGACGCAUCUCUUUGUCACAUGGAUUCCCCAGGGCACAGAAGGCCGGUGGCAAAGAAGGGAGUGGAAAAGAGGUUGCAGAAGAUUUACUUCAUGCACAGGAAAUGGUGGCGUUGCCUCUGGGCUCGGUGCUGCCGCAACCCUGGGGUUGGGAAACUCAGAAAAGGAGCACAUCGUGGGACCCUGGGCCCUGCUUGGGGGAUAGAUUGUGUCCUCACGAGGUUUGAGGGGCCACACAGCACAGACCGUGAUCCGGGUGGCUGGGGAAGGCCGCACAGGUGGGGGUCACAGCCUGUGGAAAGAAGAGUGAGGAUGGCAGACGUCCUGGGGCAGCACCCAGCCUCCCUGCGGCUGGCGUGUGGGCAUGGCUGCCAGGGACUGUGCCAUCUGUAA